CUAUUGUUUUUGUUGCUAACGUUACUUUCACAAGGAUGAAUAAACAUUUAAGGCAUUUAUUUAAACAACAAGUAUUAUAACUUGGUCUGUAAGACAAGUUAACAAUGGAGCCAAGAUUGCUAUACUGGUAAAGAGAUCAUGGAGCAUGAUGAUGAACUGAAUGAUCUGCGGCUUCAGUUUCAAGCGCUACAAAAACAGCAGGAGAAAAGAAAACUGGAUAGGAAAAAGGAGAAAGUACCAAAUAGGCUUAAUAAUGGUGUUACCCAGGAUGAUUUGGAUCUGUCUAAGAAAGGUAUUUUGGCAGACAAUCUUGAAGACAGACUGCUACAGAAUGACAAUCAAAAUUUGAUGGACCAGCUGAGGGAGCUUAAGGAUGAAAAUGGUCGGCUCUUCAAACUUCUAAGUGAAAAGGAUUUUGAAAUUCAACACCUGAAAAAGAAAAGAGAAGGAGAACGACUGUUUUUAACAGGCACAUCUGGCUUGGCAGGAGAUAUAGCAGCCACCAAGAUUGUUGAGCUGUCCAAGAAAAAUAGAGAGCUGACUGCUGAAAUUGAGCGAGAAAAGAUUAAAUCCAAGCAAAACAGCAACAAAGUCAAAGAGCUUGAGAAAGAGCUGCAGGCCGCUUUGGUGCACUCUCUACCUGGGCAAAAGGUAGACACAAAGUCACAAGACAAGAGGUCAUCUGAAGACUGUGAGCAGGAAAAUCCUGUGGUGAAAUCACUGCAGGAAAAAUUUGCUGCUGCCCAGCUGAAAGUGAUUGAGUAUCGCAAUCAGGUUCAAGCCGUCAAACAGGAGUUGAAAGUAGCUCAGAAGGUUUUGAUCAGUGAAGUUGGAGAGGAGGUCAACCUUCAGCAAUUACUAAGCUGCCCUGGGAGCUUUAGAGGUCGCUCUCAGCAGAUACUGGCUCUUCAGACAAGGGUGAGAGACCUUGAGCAGCAGUUGAAGCAGUCAACACAGCGAAGACAACCAAAUGUCCUGAGUAUAGAGGAAGAGUUUCUGGGCAUGGGGGUCCUUCAAAAAAAACCUCCUGAAAACAGGAACCUCGGCCACAUCCGCACCAUUGAGAAGGAGAAGAGGGAAGCGUUAGAGAGGAUCUCAGUGGACCAUGAGGCCCUCCUGAAAGACCACGAGGAUGUGAAGAAAAAGCUGGAAGCCUCUAAAGCCAGGAACAAAUCUCUGUCCACAGAAAUAAAAACUCUGAAGGUACAGAUCUCCACCCUCCUGAAGAAGGGCAAACAUGACGAUGAGCUUGUCGAUGCCCUGCUGAAGCAGCAAACCCGGAUGCAGGAGAUGCUGAGACAGCUCAGCCAACAGCAAAACCUACAGAGCAAGGAGAUCCAGCAGAGCCCAAGACAAAAGCUUAGCAGUGAGCCUUCAGAGCACAACACUCUCAUCCAGAAUCUUAAGCAGAUAGUUGCUAAGAGAGAGGCAAAGAUCAAAGAACUACAGGAGAAAAUCCAGCAGCUCUCUAUCAAGGAGGAGGGCAUGGAAAGACCGAAGUCCAGCCUCAAGACAACAAUUUGCAGUUCAGGAUUUCCCCCUGAAGAGGGAGACAUUAACAAGCGAAUAACAUCUUCAGGAUCAGUUUCUAAAUUUGGUCAUAAAUUGGUGCUGCCUGCUGUGGGAAAUAAUAUAGAAUUCAAGGGUCCAAGUUCUUCAAAAUGUCCACAGUGUUCAGCUGAUUUGAGCACAUUGAUCACUAAGUGUAGUGAAUAUAAAAUUAUCUGCACAGAGAAGGACAGACUCCUUGAGCUGGUUAAUGUCCUACAGACAAGCAGUCCAAUGAAUGGCCAAUAGUGAUGGCUCAGGCAUAUCUGUGAAAUUCAAGGACGUCAAUCAAGGUUAAAAAAGUAGAGAAAGAGACAAACCAGAUGUUUUUGGAGGCAGAACAGAAGUACCUGGAGGAGCGCCACCGGAUAGUAAUCCUGGAGCAGCAGCUGGAGAGGUCAAAAUUAGAUUCAAAGUAAGACCAAUAAAAGCAGCAAGGGUAAAACUGGUAUGCCAAGACUCAGUGACAGCAUGAUGCUACAAUGUCAAGCAGAUUUUUAUGUUAGUCUUUUUUUUUUUAAUGCUCUGACUCAUCAAUUUCUCCCUUGACUGUCUCGCUUUUGGCUAUCACGACUCUGUCCCUCAGGAGCAGCAUCCCUCAGUACCAGGGUGGCAGGAGUCUCUGAGCAACAGGGACUGUCCACAGACACGCUGAGUAAACUGUACAAUGAGUCCAUUGUUAUUUGUAAACAUUUUAUUUCUAACUUUGACAACACUGUAGUUGUCUUGAGCUUGGUUCUGGGGAAAAAAUAUAUUUUUACACCAGAUGACAGAAAUAAUGAUGCAUGGCAAUGGACACACUGCCUAUGGACCGUGUCCAUUCUAACACUCAUGUUUGGGCUGCACAGAGAUGUUCAUGUUGCUCUUGUCAUGGAUGUUGUCUCCUGGCUGGUCAUUUAGCUGGAGGAAACGGAGGCGCUGAGGGCACAGCUAAAGAGCACUCUCCACCAUGACCUACAGUUCUGCAGUGACGUGAUGAGACAAGUCAAGCAUGUUUUCCUGCAGGCUCUGUGACAGCCCAGACAAGACACUAACCAGGGGACUGGCUGGUCCCUGCUAAGCCUCACGUCCAGCUGAGCCCUACCCUCUCCUGUCACACGUAACAAACAGCAGCCUGCAGGAAACCGGCUCUCCUUACAAGAUCAUACGGAUCUCCGUGUUUUUCUCCCAUUUGAACUCUCAAAGACGUGAUGGGAUGGUUCAUUUGUGCAUUCGAUUACCUCGGUUUAACCAGUUGACCUUGGGUUGCAGAGCUUUCAACCCUGACAAAUGUUCCUACUGAUUGCAAAAAUGUUGCUGAUAGGAUGUCUCCCCAUGGUUUUAUAUCUUGUCUGUGUGCUAUUUUAUAAAUGUCACUAUAGAUGUAUUUUACUCCACUGGCAGCCUGAAGUGCAUUACAUGUAUACAGAGCUGUUUUUAAAGUAUAUUUGUAAACUAAUGAAACAUCCAGUUUAAUCAAUAAAAAGGGACAAAAUCUUCUUCUAAAUCUAAAUCUUCUAAAUAUAUUGUUUUACGUUCAUGGCCGUGACCCUCCUAGACUUUUUAAAAAGUGUUUUUUGGCUCCAGAUAGUUGUACAUAAACGUGAGACAGGCCAAUCCAAAUAGUCAACACCCCAGUUAAGUUCCCAAAAACUUCAAUAUUCCUUUUAAAUUUUACUGCUAAUUACUUCUGACUCGAAACCAGCUGUGUGGGAAUAGUGGUUGAAAAUGAAUGCGGACUCAAGCUGCACGAACUCCCGCUGUAGUCCUUUAUACACUCCCCAGAGCAUGUCACAUGUAUGUAGAUCUUAGCUUCUUAAUCCAAAGGUUGUCUGGAUGUGCGUGGCCUGGUGGGAGUGGCCUCUACAUUCAUACUAACAUCAGAGUUAUUUUCUUCCGAUGUAGCCAAAAGGAUUUCAGCAGAGCUCCCCCUCCUUCUCCCCUCCCUCCACAUCACGCUUAAUUUAAAACCAUGGCUGAGUUAGUGUGCUGCUUCAAAUACCGCACUAUUUCUUCCAGGACCCUGUGGGAGAUUGGCAGGUCCCCAUUGGACUGAGCGAGAAAGUGCCACAAGACAAAAAUAUCAGUUUGGACAGGAUACAGAAAGCCUUUAUGCUCAGAGUAACAAAAAACAACUUGUAUCGAAUACCUCCUGGAUAUAAGGUGAGGCACCCUUUAAUGUAUUAGAAUGAGUGGUGUCAUUGGAGGAACAGAUGAGAUGAUUAGAUGAGCCGGAUGACUACAGGCCCUGCGACAUUGACAGACAUGAAUCAAAUGUAGUAAUGUGCAUCAAAAAGGGUGUUGAUGGAGCAAAUACUUGUCAUGGUCCCUAACUGCAUCCGAUUCCAGGGAAAAUGUUUAGUUUAGUAAAUUUUUGUUUGGUUGUAUUUUUUAUUUUUUUUAAUCUGCCAUAACAUCUUAAUAUAAAAAUGGAGUCCGUGUUUGUGAGCAUUUACAAUAUUUUCCGAAACAUGUAAUCUAAAGCUUUUAUUUCAUGUGACAGUUGAUUUUGAUUUUAAAUAAAGCUUAUUGCUGUUGAAUACUCA
This is an RNA transcript of Micropterus dolomieu (smallmouth bass), 4073 nucleotides long. It is a transcript of the gene named coiled-coil domain containing 13, with no coding region annotated. The record is from RefSeq and is a predicted model, not a curated record. Lineage: Eukaryota; Metazoa; Chordata; Actinopteri; Centrarchiformes; Centrarchidae. The transcript is spliced from 15 exons.